This is a transfer RNA of Fibroporia radiculosa TFFH 294, 105 nucleotides long. It matches the Rfam family "tRNA". From Rfam's summary of the family: Transfer RNA (tRNA) molecules are approximately 80 nucleotides in length. Their secondary structure includes four short double-helical elements and three loops (D, anti-codon, and T loops). The record is from Rfam. Lineage: Eukaryota; Fungi; Basidiomycota; Agaricomycetes; Polyporales; Fibroporiaceae.
UGCCCCAUGGCUGAGUUGGUUACAGCGUCCGACUGUUACCGUAUUAGGAGGUUUAUUCCCACGGUUGGCAUCGGAAGGUCGAGAGUUCGAGCCUCUCUGGGGCAG